AACAAUAUACAAUAAUGAGCUUUAAACAGCUCUGGUUCCUCCAGAAAUGUCCUGUACCUCGGGCCUAAAAAGAGUCCAGCCCGGUAAACAAGUUCAGGGAACUCAAGUGACCUUAGUCACGCAAUGGUUGUCCGUUCAUAAAGUGUAGUGUAAACCCGGUGUCAAUCAUACACCGAAAAGAACAAAUAUUUUACCACACAUUUCAAUAAAUCCUCAACUACAACUAACUACCUAAAUCAUCACGGUAUACAUCACCCCAAAACAAAUGAAAUACCGUAUACAAAAAAGGUUGUAGUCAGUCGGUCAGUCAGAGAAGCCAAUCCGCCGACAGAUCUCCAGCAGAGAAAGGCCACGAAAACCAACGGAGAGGAGUAGUCCACAGAUGCAAGAGUGGAUCCGAUCCUGGGUAGAUUUUCUAUUAGGCUACACAAAGCACACUUUUACAGCAACACAACAAACGGAAGAGAGAAGCUUCAGAACUGAGGGUCGAACACAUCCUCAUUCAUGUUUCCAUCACAACUCCUCUUUUGCGCAGCUGAUGCUGGCUUUUUAAUUGGGAAUUAAAGGGGAAGCGCCCUAUUGGAAGAAGCACUAAUUAAUUGAGAAUUAAAGGGAAAGCGCCCUAUUUGAAGGAGAAGCACUGAGACGGUUCAGAAACAUUCAGGGCCGUCACACACCCCCUCCCCUGGAAAAAGCCGACCAUUGCCCUGGAAGGCACAUCUUGGUCGGGGAAACCGAGAAAGGUCUCUUCUUCACUUUCCUCUACAAAAAUAUUCAUUACUUUUUGGCGCUCAUGCUCCUCAGCCGAGGGGUCACAGGCCUUAAGGCGUGAGACUUCUGGAUCUGGGAAUCCGAGAAAAGUCUCAUCACUUUCCUCUUCAAAGAUUUCCAGGACCUUGCAGCGCUCAAUCUCCUCCAAUUCCUCAGCCGAGGGGUAACAGGCCUUAAGGCGUGAGACAUGGACAACGCGCAUAUCUUCACCUGUGUCCUCUUUCACCACUCGAUAGUUCAAAGGGCCUCUCUGCUCCACAAUCCUAUAUGGUCCUUGCCAUUUAGGAGCGAGCUUGGCCGAGAAGAAUUGUUCAGCUUUUGAAUAAGGAUGAGAGCGAAGCCACACCCGAUCACGAAGCUGGAACUGCAUGUCUCGUCUCUUCUUAUCAUAAUUUCUCUUCUGCUUGAGUCGAGCCUGGAUCAUGUUCUUUGAGACAAGAGCUCUCAAGUCGUGGAGAUGGACUACCUGGUCAUAGCAAGCAGCGUCUGGAGUAACCUGCUGGGGCUGUAGCACCAUCUCCAAGGGUCCUCGGAGGGGACGACUCAGGUUCAGCUCUGCAGGUGUGACUCCAGUGGACUCUUGCACAGCAGAAUUCAGGGCAAAUCGAAACUCGUGAAGGUGCUUGUCCCAGUCUUUGUGCUGGGUCCCUACAUAGGAAGCAACCAUUGUCUUCAAGGUUCGAUUAACUCUCUCAGUGAGGUUGGUCUGUGGGUGAUAGGCCGUGGUCAACUUCUGUCUCAGGUUCCAUCUUUGGCAGGUCUCCUCAAAGAGAUCAGAGACAAAUUGGGAACCUCGAUCAGACAGGAUGUAAUCAGGCACUCCCCAGCGAGUCAGGAUCUCUUUCGUAAGGAUGUUAGAGACAGUCCUUGCUGUGGCCUGACGCAGGGCAAAGAGCUCCACCCACUUGGAAUAGUAAUCAACAAAAACAAGCAUGUACACAUUCUGAUUGGAGCUUCUAGGAAAUGGACCCAUCAAAUCCACUCCUAACAUUUCCCAAGGUCGGGUAACCACAGUUUGCUGCAACUUGCCAGCAGGCUUUCUACCUUCUGGUUUGUACAUUUGACAAACCUGACAGUUUCGGAUGUGUGACUUCACAUCCAUGCUCAGAUGUGGCCAGUACAGUAAUGCUUGCAACCGCUUGUAGGUUUUGAACCUGCCCAAAUGACCAGCUAAUGGGUCUUCAUGGAAAUGUUGCAGCAGUUGAAGGCGUAGAGUUUCAGGAUAGUCUGGUACAAAGCCUGUACUUCUGGAUCAUCCUGUUGGGCUUUCCAAAUGGCCUCAUCAGAGAUGGGAAAGUCAGUUUUGGGUGAGUCUCGACUGCUUGACAGGACAGUAGCACAUGUAAGAUGAGGGCCACCAUUACCACCAGCAGGAGCUCUGGAUAAGGCAUCUGGAACAGUGUUGUAUUUUCCUUUCCUGUAUUCUACUGCAAAGGUGAACUCUUGCAACCGUAGAGCCCAUCUGAUGAGUCUGGUGCUUGGUUUGUUGGUCUUGAACACCCACACAAGGCGAGGAAUGGUCAGUGACCACAGUGAAGUGUCUUCCCUCCAGGUAGUACCUCCACUUUUCCAAAGCCCAGACAACUGCAAGGCACUCUUGCUCGGUUGUGGAGUAGUUCCGUUCUGCUCCAUUCAAUGUUCGACUGGCGAACGCUAGCACUUCUUCAGUGCCAAGUCCAGUCUGUUGGACUAGAACAGCACCAAGUCCAACAUCACUUGCAUCAGUAUAAACAACAAAAGGGCAAUCAAAGUUGGGAUGACCCAAAAUGGGAGGUGUGACGAGGUGUCGUUUUAGGGUUUCAAAAGAGGUCUGGCACUCUGCCGUCCAUCAGAAUUUCGCACCUUUUCGCUUCAAUGCGUUGAGGGGUUCUGCCACCUGGGAGAAGUUCAACACAAACCGAUGGUACCAUCCAGCCAUCCCAAGGAACCGUUGAAGGGCCUUGAGUGUGGUUGGGACAGGGAAAUCUUGUACCGCCUUGGUCUUUUCGGGAUCCACAUGAGUGCCGUCAAAAGACACAAUAUGGCCAAGGAACUUCAGAGAGGUUUGGCAGAAGUUGCUCUUCUUCAUGUUCAAUGUCAGACCAGCUUCCCUUAGCUUGUCCAACACUGCUUGAAGAUCUUGAAAAUGUUGUUCUCUGGUCUGGGAGUAGAUAAUUAUAUCGUCCAGGUAGACGAAACAGAUCUUCCCUUUGAGCUCACCUAACGCAAUCUCCAUGAGUCUUUAGAAAGUGGCAGGUGCAUUCUUUAAUCCAAAAGGCAUCACCUUAAAGGAAAACAAGCCCUCAGCACAGACAAAAGCAGUCUUGUCCUUGCUUUCCUGGUCCAUCUCAACCUGCCAAUAGCCACUAUUGAGGUCAAGGGUAGUGAACACAACCGCCCCAGACAAUGACUCCAGGAUCUCUUGGAUGGUGGGAAGAGGAUAGGCAUCAGUCUGGGAAACCUUGUUGGUCUUCCUAUAGUCCACACAAAAUCUAAGACCACCGGUCUUUUUUGGGAUGAGGACAACAGGAGCAGCCCAGGGAGAGGAUGAACGUUCAAUUAUAUUUUGUGUCAACAUAUCAUUAAUCAGUCCUUUUUGGAUGAUUAGCUUUGCUGGGGACAAACGAUAUGGCUUCUGCUUGAUCGGCAUUUCCUGUGUAAGGAAUAUUUUGUGCUUCAGGAGCCCGGUACGUCCCAGCUUUGAAGUACAUACAUCAGCGUUAUUCUGCAGCUGUUCCAACAGCCUUAACUCCUCUGGCUGUUCCAGCUGAGCUCUUCUCACAGCCUGUAAAAGGAGAUCAUCAGAAGGAUUAUCGAGGGUUAGUGGUACCGGAGCAAUGGCAGAGAAGACUGCCACAUUUGGACCCCAAUCAUGUAACUUUGUAGCUUCUGACUGGAAGAAAUGCUUCUUGCUCGGAUUGUAUGGAAACCAGUAGCAAUUGUGUGCGAUAUCAAUCUGGACACCACUGAAGUACAUGAAAUCAAUUCCCAA
Salmo salar (Atlantic salmon) is the source of this 3742-nucleotide non-coding RNA. The record is from RefSeq and is a predicted model, not a curated record. Lineage: Eukaryota; Metazoa; Chordata; Actinopteri; Salmoniformes; Salmonidae.